Molecule: long non-coding RNA, 1498 nt
Organism: Mus musculus (house mouse)
Lineage: Eukaryota; Metazoa; Chordata; Mammalia; Rodentia; Muridae
Product: RIKEN cDNA 1110019D14 gene
Exons: 3
Source: RefSeq, marked predicted
AGGCUGCUUGUUGUUCGGGUUUCACAAGUUUGCCCUCUGGUUUUACUGUUAAAGAGAGGCCAUUGUAACUGAGAACUAGCUUCGAAUACAGCUGCUGCUACAUCUUUCCAGGCUUAUGAGAUAAUCCUGUUUUUGGUAGCCAGGUAUUUAACAUCUGUCUUUCAACGGGAUGUAACUCUCAUCUACUUCUCCAGAACCAAGUCUACAUGAAGCCAUGUGCCUGCUGCCACGCUUCACACCUGGAUGAUAAUGGACUCACCUCUGGAAACAAGCCCCCAAAUUAUAUGCUUUCUUUUAUAAGAAUUGCUUUGGCUAUGGUGUUCUUCACAGCAAUAAAAUAGCGAUGAAGACAGUAGUUGAUACCAGGAAACCGAGUAUUGCUGUGACAGGCAUGACCAUGCUGUAUAUUGGCAGAAUGUGAACUUUGGACUAGAAAAGUGACUGAGUGGUUUAAGUCGGGAUUUUAUGGGCUAUACUAGUAGCAAGGACACUUGUAUUGGAAAAAUGUAGACAAGUGGGAGACCAGCACAGGAAGUUGCAGAGGGAGAAAUCAUACAAAGUGAAUACAAAGCAACCUAGUGACCAUUCUUGAUGUAUUUCAGCAAAGAGGUGGCUGCUUUUGCCCAUGUCCUGAAAAUCUGCCCGAGUUUUUGAUUAAUGAUGGCAGAGGAGAUGUCAAGACAGCUUAGAAUUGAUCAUAUCAUAUGGUUAUUAGUAAUCACUCUUAUUUAGGUCAGUAAUGGAAAAGAUAAAGCUAGACAAAAAGAAAUACCAAAUGUACAGAUUGAGGGGAAAAGAAAGCACUAGAGAGUGUAAUGGAGCUAAGUCCAGUGCUUCUAGAAGAUUAAAAUUUAAAGAAAAAUUUGACACUAAGUGGAAUCAAAAGAGCAGUAACCUCAGGUAAGAUCCCACUCAGUUAAGGUUCCAACUUGUAAAAGGGAAUUAAAGAAGUUUAAGCAGUGAAGGAAACUAUCAAGAAGGGAAAGCUGAUGCAAAUGUAAAUGAAUCAGAGGGCCAAGUUCAGGCCAGCAAGCAGCUGAAUUUGGCAGCUUUAGCCAAGUGGUUCUGGCCUUAGAGUCAAGGAAAUCAAGAGAGCAAGUCCUUACAAUAUACAAAGGAAUGGCUCUUCCCCCACUGGCUAAGAAAAGGUGCUGAGUCCAGGCAAGUGCUGUGGGUGUUGAGGACCCCCUGCAGGUGUCCAUGCAGUGAUCCAUGAAGAAAUGAGAAUGAAACCUUGGUUCAGAUAGACUUCGUCAACCUAGAUCAAACUUCGGGGAGUUUAAUGCUAGGCCAUCCAUUGUCAGCAUAUUAAAACAUAGUACAAUUUGGGAAAAUUACUAAAUAUUUUCCCUUUAAGUAAAUUAUUUUAUUCUUUUUUGGAAGAUUUACUUAGUUUUAUUUUAUUUGGAAAGAUGAAUAAAUAGUAGAAAAUGUAUCUAAUCCAUUUUGUAAGGAAUAUUGAAAUUAUUCAAAAUAAAAUAUCUGGUUGUGUGAUUUG